RNAcentral lists this long non-coding RNA (201 nucleotides) under Mytilus galloprovincialis (Mediterranean mussel). The record is from RNAcentral. Lineage: Eukaryota; Metazoa; Mollusca; Bivalvia; Mytilida; Mytilidae.
GUCUGUUUUUCCAUGCAAAAUGUAUUACAAAGAAUAUGGUUUAUCAAAUGAGUUAUCUCCCCUGAAACCCCCCCCAAAAAGGGGGGGUUACUUCCUUUAUUUUUAGUGGUAUGAGUGUGCCGCAAAACGGUCCCUUUUCAUGUCCUACUGGUUAGGACAGGGUGGCUUUUCCAUGUCCUGUUGGUGAGAAAAGUGUCUUUU